AUUUUCUACUUUGAAUUGACGAUUUCGGCAUUUCUCGGUCUCACAGAAUUGUUGGUGUGUGAGAGUGUUUAUGUGUGUGUGUUUGUGCACGAAUACCCAACAAACCAAAAAGCAAAUCGAAAUACCCAAAGAACGAAGAAAAACGCCAGAGAUCAGUCAGUCGGCGACAAUCGGAAAGAAACCAAAACAUUACGAAAAAAACCAAAUUCACAAAGUGUAUUUCUGUUUUCAAAACACUUGAUGAAUAACACAAAGUGGUGGAGGGAGAUGGAGGGACAUUAACAAUACGUAAUAUUUAGAAAAUGCCAAAAGAAAAAAACUCACAAAUAGCCACAGUGGUAUUAAUGAUAAAAGAUAUUUAGGAAGAAUGAAUCAUUUUGUCCAACAAAAUACAUCUAGAAACAUUCUUUUUUGGAUGAGACGCGGAUCUUAAAUAUAUAUUUAAAUAUAUGCAUUGUUACUAA
Long non-coding RNA from Musca domestica (house fly), 464 nucleotides. RefSeq lists it as uncharacterized. NCBI's taxonomy places the organism in Eukaryota, Metazoa, Arthropoda, Insecta, Diptera, Muscidae. The record is from RefSeq and is a predicted model, not a curated record. The transcript is spliced from 2 exons.